UUAUUGCAAACUUCUGUAACAACUUGGACAGAGAGUUGAAGGAAAUACCAUAUUUCAAAUGGGAAGAUGUAAACACGGUGUUGUUCCCCAUAUGUGCAAAUCAGCAUUAUUAUGCUGUUUGUUUUUGCUUCAAGAGAAAUGCUAUUGCUGUAAUAGACAAUUCUGCAAACGGGGAUGACAAUGACCUAACAAUAAAUUAUGGUCACAUUCCAGAAACAUUGAGAUCAUACUUUUGUCACUUCCUCA
Molecule: long non-coding RNA, 246 nt
Organism: Salvia splendens (bonfire salvia)
Lineage: Eukaryota; Viridiplantae; Streptophyta; Magnoliopsida; Lamiales; Lamiaceae
Exons: 3
Source: RefSeq, a predicted model, not a curated record